Molecule: ribosomal RNA, 253 nt
Filed under: uncultured bacterium
Lineage: Bacteria
Description: partial 16S ribosomal RNA
Rfam family: Bacterial small subunit ribosomal RNA
Source: RNAcentral
UACGUAGGGGGCAAGCGUUGUCCGGAAUCAUUGGGCGUAAAGCGCGUGUAGGCGGCCCGGUAAGUCCGCUGUGAAAGUCGGGGGCUCAACCCUCGGAUGCCGGUGGAUACUGUCGGGCUAGAGUGCGGGAGAGGCGAGUGGAAUUCCUGGUGUAGCGGUGAAAUGCGUAGAGAUCUGGAAGAACACCAAAGGCGAAGGCAGCAUCCUGGGAAGUUCCUGACGCUCGGGUGCGAAAGCCAGGGGAGCGAACGGG